CGUACACUCCUGCGGGAGGCAGCAGUGGGGAAUUUUGGACAAUGGGCGAAAGCCUGAUCCAGCCAUGCCGCGUGCAGGAUGAAGGCCUUCGGGUUGUAAACUGCUUUUGUACGGAACGAAACGGCCUUUUCUAAUAAAGAGGGCUAAUGACGGUACCGUAAGAAUAAGCACCGGCUAACUACGUGCCAGCAGCCGCGGUAAUACGUAGGGUGCAAGCGUUAAUCGGAAUUACUGGGCGUAAAGCGUGCGCAGGCGGUUAUGUAAGACAGUUGUGAAAUCCCCGGGCUCGACCUGGGAACUGCAUCUGUGACUGCAUAGCUAGAGUACGGUAGAGGGGGAUGGAAUUCCGCGUGUAGCAGUGAAAUGCGUAGAUAUGCGGAGGAACACCGAUGGCGAAGGCAAUCCCCUGGACCUGUACUGACGCUCAUGCACGAAAGCGUGGGGAGCAAACAGGAUUAGAAACCCCUGUAGUCCCAUGA
RNAcentral lists this ribosomal RNA (479 nucleotides) under uncultured organism. RNAcentral's name for it is "partial 16S ribosomal RNA". It matches the Rfam family "Bacterial small subunit ribosomal RNA", at positions 330 to 800 of the family's 1533-position model. The record is from RNAcentral.